This 450-nucleotide ribosomal RNA is filed under the name uncultured Glomeromycotina. RNAcentral's name for it is "SSU rRNA". It matches the Rfam family "Eukaryotic small subunit ribosomal RNA", at positions 569 to 1022 of the family's 1831-position model. The record is from RNAcentral. Lineage: Eukaryota; Fungi; Glomeromycota.
AGCAGCCGCGGUAAUUCCAGCUCCAAUAGCGUAUAUUAAAGUUGUUGCAGUUAAAAAAGCUCGUAGUUGAAUUUCGGGACCAAUCUGCCGGUCGUGCCUCCGGUACGCACUGGUUUUAUUGGUUUCUCCCUUCUGACGAACCAUGAUGUCAUUAAUUUGGUGUCAUGGGGAAUCAGGACUGUUACUUUGAAAAAAUUAGAGUGUUUAUAGCAGGCUCACGCUUGAAUACAUUAGCAUGGAAUAAUGAAAUAGGACGUUUGACCCUAUUUUGUUGGUUUCUAGGAUCGACGUAAUGAUUAAUAGGGAUAGUUGGGGGCAUUAGUAUUCAAUUGUCAGAGGUGAAAUUCUUGGAUUUAUUGAAGACUAACUACCGCGAAAGCAUUUGCCAAGGAUGUUUUCAUUAAUCAAGAACGAAAGUUAGGGGAUCGAAGACGAUCAGAUACCGUCGUA